UGAUCUCGGAUGUAAUUUACAAAGGUAU
This 28-nucleotide small RNA is filed under the name Bombyx mori (domestic silkworm). Its description in RNAcentral is "ovarian small RNA-32736". Lineage: Eukaryota; Metazoa; Arthropoda; Insecta; Lepidoptera; Bombycidae. The record is from RNAcentral.